AAAAAAUGACUCUCGGCAACGGAUAUCUCGGCUCUCGCAUCGAUGAAGAACGUAGCGAAAUGCGAUACUUGGUGUGAAUUGCAGAAUCCCGUGAACCAUCGAGUCUUUGAACGCAAGUUGCGCCCGAAGCCGUCAGGCUGAGGGCACGUCUGCCUGGGCGUCACGCAUCGCGUCGCCCCCUCCUCGA
RNAcentral lists this ribosomal RNA (187 nucleotides) under Convolvulus fernandesii. RNAcentral describes it as "5.8S ribosomal RNA". The stretch from base 8 to 163 matches the Rfam family "5.8S ribosomal RNA". Rfam says of the family: 5.8S ribosomal RNA (5.8S rRNA) is a component of the large subunit of the eukaryotic ribosome. It is transcribed by RNA polymerase I as part of the 45S precursor that also contains 18S and 28S rRNA. Lineage: Eukaryota; Viridiplantae; Streptophyta; Magnoliopsida; Solanales; Convolvulaceae. The record is from RNAcentral.